AUGCGCAGUGGGUGGGAAAGGAGACUGGUCCCUGAAGGAAGGGAGAGUGGCUGUUGUGCACCUGCAGUCACGACACUUCCAUCAAUCUCCUUCAAAAGCCACCUUUGGAGCUUUCAGUUUCCUGAAAAAAUCAGAAAAUCCACUUGCUUAUCAGCUCUACGCAGCGUUUUGAAAGUGAUUGCACUGAGACCUCCUCCACACCGCACUGUAAAUGACACCAAUGGACAACAGGAGUCUAGAAAUGACAUGAACGGACACCAACAAAAAAGAAGGGGGCCUGGAGCCUGGGCCAUGUCAGCAGGCUGGGUGUGCAGGAUGGCAGCAGGGGCUGGCACCAGUUUUGUUAGUGCAGUGACAACCGUAGGUUUGUGUAAAUAA
RNAcentral lists this long non-coding RNA (378 nucleotides) under Anser cygnoides (Swan goose). RNAcentral describes it as "lncRNA (ENSACDG00005002151.1)". The record is from RNAcentral. Lineage: Eukaryota; Metazoa; Chordata; Aves; Anseriformes; Anatidae.